UCAGAUGAUGAUCCCAAGCCUUCUGGCGAUCUGUUCAUGUUAAGCCUCUUAUGGCUUAAGAGAGCUUUUCUUUUUAUGUGCUUUCUAUUUGUCAGAUUGUACCGGGGAAGGUUUUUCCGGUUUACCCCGGAGGGCUUGUAGCUCAGUUGGUUAGAGCGCGCGCUUGAUAAGCGUGAGGUCGGAGGUUCAAGUCCUCCCAGGCCCACCAGUUUGUAGUUUCUGAUCUAUUAUCGGAUUGGAUUUAUAACUGCUUAUAGGAUUUAUGAGCUUAUGAAAGUGUGAAGCAUUUUGAGUGUUUGAUUAAGUUCAGGUGGAUUAGAGAAAGAUCCUCUUAGUCCUUACUUAGGGGCCGUAGCUCAGCUGGGAGAGCACCUGCUUUGCAAGCAGGGG
This 390-nucleotide transfer RNA is filed under the name Bartonella sp. RNAcentral describes it as "partial 16S-23S ribosomal RNA intergenic spacer". The stretch from base 132 to 205 matches the Rfam family "tRNA". Lineage: Bacteria; Pseudomonadati; Pseudomonadota; Alphaproteobacteria; Hyphomicrobiales; Bartonellaceae. The record is from RNAcentral.